CUGCGGAUUACUGUUCUCGCUGUUCUGAUUUUGUGAUAAUCAGGGCAGGCUAAACAUUCGCUCUAUUAAGACCACACAUGUGUCCCCAGACCUAGUUCUCUCCCUAUGUCUGGUGUUAGAAAUGCUGGUGAUAACA
This is a small nucleolar RNA of Ochotona princeps (American pika), 136 nucleotides long. Its record names the gene SNORA72. It matches the Rfam family "Small nucleolar RNA SNORA72". Rfam says of the family: U72 is a member of the H/ACA class of snoRNAs. The snoRNA gene is located in intron 4 of the ribosomal L30 protein gene in human, mouse and chicken. The record is from Ensembl. Lineage: Eukaryota; Metazoa; Chordata; Mammalia; Lagomorpha; Ochotonidae.